AACGAACGCUGGCGGCAUGCCUAACACAUGCAAGUCGAACGAGACCUUCGGGUCUAGUGGCGCACGGGUGCGUAACGCGUGGGAACCUGCCCUUAGGUUCGGAAUAACUCCCCGAAAGGGGUGCUAAUACCGGAUAGUGUCUUCGGACCAAAGAUUUAUCGCCUUUGGGUGGGCCCGCGUUGGAUUAGCUAGUUGGUAGGGUAAAAGCCUACCAAGGCGACGAUCCAUAGCUGGUCUGAGAGGAUGAUCAGCCACACUGGGACUGCGACACGGCCCAGACUCCUACGGGAGGCAGCAGUGGGGAAUAUUGGACAAUGGGCGAAAGCGUGAUCCAGCAAUGCCGCGUGAGUGAUGAAGGCCUUAGGGUUGUAAAGCUCUUUUACCCGGGAUGAUAAUGACAGUACCGGGAGAAUAAGCUCCGGCUAACUCCGUG
Molecule: ribosomal RNA, 433 nt
Filed under: uncultured bacterium
Lineage: Bacteria
Description: partial 16S ribosomal RNA
Rfam family: Bacterial small subunit ribosomal RNA
Source: RNAcentral